UGCCUAGUGCACCUACGCAGUAUAAACAAUAAUAAACUUUACUGUCGUUGACAAGAAACGAGUAACUCGUCCCUCUUCUGCAGACUGCUUACGGUUUCGUCCGUGCUGCAGUCGAUCAUCAGCAUACCUAGGUUUCGUCCGGGUGUGACCGAAAGGUAAGAUGGAGAGCCUUGUUCUUGGAAUCAACGAGAAAA
Molecule: regulatory RNA element, 194 nt
Rfam family: Sarbecovirus 5'UTR
About the family: Further, there is a larger structure, SL5, present, which includes the first ORFs of the polyprotein.
Source: Rfam